CCAUACAAUUUAAUUAGGCAUAUGGAAAAAGCAAGUAUCCCGGCUGCAACACCAUGAACAUAUAGACCAUGCAGGUCGGAUGCAUGAUAAACCUAGGCUUGUAACACUCACAUAUGACAAAGAUAUUGUCAACAUAAUAGCUAGAGUACUCAGGAAGGAUGACGCAUGUAUGCUGGUUCCAAAACGACGUCCUACGCUGUUCAAGCUCCUAUGGAAUGGCAAAGACCCUGUCCCAGAGGACCGAAAGGCGGGAAUAUAUACGGUCCCCUUAUACAACCAUAGUGAAAACCGGAACCAAUGUUAUGUUGGCAGCACUAAACGAAACCUGAAAAAAACGGAUAGAGGAACAUAAGGCAGACAUUGCUAGUGGUAGACUUACCACAGCCCUCGCAACGAAGAGCUACGAACAGGAUAUCG
This 417-nucleotide long non-coding RNA is filed under the name Androctonus crassicauda. The record is from RNAcentral. Lineage: Eukaryota; Metazoa; Arthropoda; Arachnida; Scorpiones; Buthidae.